GGCGUAAAGAGCUCGUAGGCGGUUUGUCGCGUCUGCUGUGAAAAUCCAAGGCUCAACCUUGGACCUGCAGUGGGUACGGGCAGACUAGAGUGCGGUAGGGGAGAUGGGAAUUCCUGGUGUAGCGGUGGAAUGCGCAGAUAUCAGGAGGAACACCAAUGGCGAAGGCACAUCUCUGGGCCGUAACUGACGCUGAGGAGCGAAAGCGUGGGGAGCGAACAGGAUUAGAUACCCUGGUAGUCCACGCCGUAAACGGUGGGUGCUAGUUGUGGGCCACAUUCCACGUGGUCCGUGACGAAGUUAACACAUUAAGCACCCCGCCUGGGGAGUACGGUCGCAAGACUAAAACUCAAAGGAAUUGACGGGGGCCCGCACAAGCGGCGGAGCAUGCGGAUUAAUUCGAUGCAACGCGAAGAACCUUACCAAGGCUUGACAUAUAGAGGAAACGUGCAGAAAUGUACGCCCCGCAAGGUCACUAUACAGGUGGUGCAUGGUUGUCGUCAGCUCGUGUCGUGAGAUGUUGGGUUAAGUCCCGCAACGAGCGCAACCCUCGUCCUAUGUUGCCAGCACGUAAUGGUGGGAACUCAUGGGAGACUGCCGGGGUCAACUCGGAGGAAGGU
This 617-nucleotide ribosomal RNA is filed under the name uncultured Actinomycetes bacterium. RNAcentral describes it as "bacterial SSU rRNA". It matches the Rfam family "Bacterial small subunit ribosomal RNA", at positions 557 to 1174 of the family's 1533-position model. The record is from RNAcentral. Lineage: Bacteria; Bacillati; Actinomycetota; Actinomycetes.